GACCUGACUGCUAUCGGAUUGAUACUAAGCCAUGCGAGUCUUUGUAGUAAUACAAGGCAGACGGCUCAGUAACGCGUAGUCAACCUACCCUAUGGACGGGAAUAAUCUCGGGAAACUGAGCAUAAUACCCGGCGUACCAUCAUUCCUGGAAUGGUUGGUGGUUAAAAUGAUUCGUCGCCGUAGGAUGGGACUGCGACCUAUCAGCUUGUUGGUGAGGUAAAGGCCCACCAAGGCGAUUACAGGUACGGGCUCUGAGAGGAGAAGCCCGGAGAUGGGUACUGAGACACGGACCCAGGCCCUAUGGGGCGCAGCAGGCGAGAAAACUUUGCAAUGUGCGAAAGCACGACAAGGUUAAUCCGAGUGAUUCCUGCUAAAGGAAUCUUUUGCCAGUUCUAAAAAUACUAGUGAAUAAGGGGUGGGCAAGUUCUGGUGUCAGCCGCCGCGGUAAAACCAGCACCUCAAGUGGUCAGGAGGAUUAUUGGGCCUAAAGCAUCCGUAGCCUGCUCUGUAAGUUUUCGGUUAAAUCUAUAUGCUCAACGUAUAGGCUGCCGAAAAUACUGCAGUGCUAGGAAGUGGGAGAGGUAGACGGUACUUGAUAGGAAGGGGGUAAAAUCCUUUGAUCUAUCGAUGACCACCUGUGGCGAAGGCGGUCUACCAGAACACGUUCGACGGUGAGGGAUGGAAGCUGGGGGAGCAAACCGGAUUAGAUACCCGGGUAGUCCCAGCUGUAAACGAUGCAGACUCGAUGAUGCAUUGGCAUAUAGCCAGUGCAGUGUCGCAGGGAAGCCGUUAAGUCUGCCGCCUGGGAAGUACGUACGCAAGUAUGAAACUUAAAGGAAUUGGCGGGGGAGCACCACAAGGGGUGAAGCCUGCGGUUCAAUUGGAGUCAACGC
RNAcentral lists this ribosomal RNA (893 nucleotides) under uncultured marine group I thaumarchaeote. RNAcentral's name for it is "bacterial SSU rRNA". It matches the Rfam family "Archaeal small subunit ribosomal RNA", at positions 20 to 918 of the family's 1478-position model. The record is from RNAcentral. Lineage: Archaea; Thermoproteati; Nitrososphaerota.